GUUGAACGCUGGCGGCAGGCCUAACACAUGCAAGUCGAACGAGUGGCGGACGGUUGCGUAAUGUCUGGUAACCUGCCCGUUGGAUGGGGAUAACUACUGGAAACGGUAUCUAAUACCGCAUACCAUCCGAUUUGGCCAGAUGGGAUUAGCUUGUAGGUGAGGUAACGGCUCACCUAGUCGACGAUCCCUAGCUGGUCUGAGAGGAUGACCAGCCACACUGGGACUGAGACACGGUCCAGACUCCUACGGGAGGCAGCAGUAGGGAAUAUUGCACAAUGGGCGCAAGUCUGAUGCAGCAAUGCCGCGUGUAUGAAGAAGGCCUUCGGGUUGUAAAGUACUUUCAGCGGGGAGGCGUUAUCCGAAGAGGAAGCAACGGCUAACUCCGUGCCAGCAGCCGCGGUAAUAC
This 406-nucleotide ribosomal RNA is filed under the name uncultured bacterium. RNAcentral's name for it is "partial 16S ribosomal RNA". It matches the Rfam family "Bacterial small subunit ribosomal RNA", at positions 28 to 526 of the family's 1533-position model. The record is from RNAcentral.